Molecule: ribosomal RNA, 300 nt
Filed under: uncultured eukaryote
Lineage: Eukaryota
Description: partial large subunit ribosomal RNA
Rfam family: Eukaryotic large subunit ribosomal RNA
Source: RNAcentral
AUAUAACUAAGCGGAGGAAAAGAAACUAACAAGGAUUCCCUCAGUAACGGCGAGUGAAGCGGGAUGAGCUCAGACUGAAAAUCUUCGGAAUUGUAGUCUGGAGACGCGAAGUCAUUUUUAUGCCCGGGCAAAGUCUCCUGCGAAUGGAGCGCCGUGGAGGGUGAGAGCCCCGUUCAUGCCUGGUGCAGAGAUUGUACGACUAGCGUUCUACGAGUCGAGUUGUUUGGGAUUGCAGCUCUAAGUGGGUGGUAAAUUCCAUCUAAAGCUAAAUAUUGGUGGGAGACCGAUAGCGCACAAGUA